RNAcentral lists this ribosomal RNA (178 nucleotides) under Clostridioides difficile. RNAcentral describes it as "partial 23S ribosomal RNA". It matches the Rfam family "Bacterial large subunit ribosomal RNA", at positions 1 to 176 of the family's 2925-position model. The record is from RNAcentral. Lineage: Bacteria; Bacillati; Bacillota; Clostridia; Peptostreptococcales; Peptostreptococcaceae.
UUGGUCAAGUUAUUAAGGGUGCAGGGCGGAUGCCUUGGCACUAGGAGCCGAUGAAGGACGUGAUAAGCUGCGAUAAGCUUCGGGGAGUUGCACGUAAACUUGGAUCCGAAGAUUUCCGAAUGAGGAAACUCACUUAGAGUAAUGUCUAAGUAUCAUUAAGUGAAUACAUAGUUUAAUG